UAAUGAAGGUUGAUUUGACUGCCCUCCUUACUUCCUGCGCCUUUCACAGCAUUAUAAAGGUGGCAGAUUGCUAAUCAAGAAUCCUUGAUGCUUUGUCCAAACUCAGAGUUUCUUCCACAUUGCAAAACAUACUUCAUGGAAGUCUAAGUCUGUAUAAUAUGCCUGGCGAAAAAGUUAAGAACGGCUGCCUCAAUAUAUUUUUCUGCAUUUCCCUUAUCUACAGGCUAAUGUUCUUGACUGAAUUUGAUGGACCCCAACGUUUAAGAGCCUCAGUGCUGAAGUACUGCAAAAAGCACAGAACAGCAUAUUUAGUUUUGAGCAAAUCGUUUGUUACCAACGGAUUACACCAGACACAGUCUAGAUGACGGCAGUGAUCAGGUACAGC
Molecule: long non-coding RNA, 385 nt
Organism: Falco peregrinus (peregrine falcon)
Lineage: Eukaryota; Metazoa; Chordata; Aves; Falconiformes; Falconidae
Exons: 3
Source: RefSeq, a predicted model, not a curated record